Molecule: transfer RNA, 75 nt
Filed under: Methanomethylovorans hollandica DSM 15978
Lineage: Archaea; Methanobacteriati; Methanobacteriota; Methanomicrobia; Methanosarcinales; Methanosarcinaceae
Also listed under: 2 other names
Description: tRNA-Pro (GGG) (tRNA-Pro-GGG-1-1)
Rfam family: tRNA
About the family: Transfer RNA (tRNA) molecules are approximately 80 nucleotides in length. Their secondary structure includes four short double-helical elements and three loops (D, anti-codon, and T loops).
Source: RNAcentral
GGGGCCGUAGGGUAGCCUGGACCAUCCUACUAGACUGGGGGUCUAGUGACUGGAGUUCAAAUCUCCACGGCCCCA